UAUCUCUGUAGAGUCUGCAUAUCAAUAAGCGGAGGAAAAGAAACUAACAUAGGAUUCCCUCAGUAACGGCGAGUGAAGCGGGAAGAGCUCAAAUUUGAAAUCUUCAAGGGUUCUACCUUGACGAAUUGUAGUUUAAAGAAGUGUUUUCUGCUGGAUGUUUUGGUAAAAGUUCUUUGGAAUAGGACAUCAUAGAGGGUGAGAAUCCCGUAUUUGACCAGUUACUUUCCAGCUGUGUGAUACACUUUCAGAGAGUCGGAUUGUUUGGGAAUGCAGUCCAAGAUGGGUGGUAAAUUUCAUCUAAAGCUAAAUAUUGGCGAGAGACCGAUAGCGAACAAGUACCGUGAGGGAAAGAUGAAAAGAACUUUGAAAAGAGAGUUAAAUAGUACGUGAAAUUGUCAAAAGGGAAGCGUUUGACACCAGUGUUGUUUUUCCGAAAAUCAAUUACGAAUGGCUUGAUUCUGUGUUGUAUUGACCUUAUCAGCUUUCUUCACUUUUUUCGAGUCUUUCUUAAUGCACUUUUCGGUUAACAAGUCAACAUCAAUUUCUUUUGUUGUAAAAGAGUAUUCGGAAGGUGGCUUUCUUUUCGGAGAAAGUGUUUAUAGCCCUAUACUUCUACAAUCGGAGAGAUUGAGGUCUGCAGCGUAGAUCCUUCGGGGUUAGAUACACUUGUGCUAAGUUAUAGCCUUUCAUAGACAACUUGUUGACUAUGAUUUAGUCAUGUCGCUUACUCGCUUAUGCUAUUUUACCUACGCUUAGGAUGUUGAAGAUGUAGCACAUCAU
Molecule: ribosomal RNA, 780 nt
Filed under: uncultured Neocallimastigales
Lineage: Eukaryota; Fungi; Neocallimastigomycota; Neocallimastigomycetes; Neocallimastigales
Description: partial large subunit ribosomal RNA
Rfam family: Eukaryotic large subunit ribosomal RNA
Source: RNAcentral